This 430-nucleotide ribosomal RNA is filed under the name uncultured bacterium. RNAcentral describes it as "bacterial SSU rRNA". It matches the Rfam family "Bacterial small subunit ribosomal RNA", at positions 28 to 487 of the family's 1533-position model. The record is from RNAcentral.
GAUGAACGCUGGCGGAGUGCCUAACACAUGCAAGUCGAGCGGCAGCGCGAGUAGUUUACUACUUGGCGGCGAGCGGCGGACGGCUGAGUAACGCGUGGGAACAUGCCCCAAAGUGAGGAAUAACUGCCCGAAAGGGUAGCUAAUGCCGCAUACGAUCUUCGGAUUAAAGGAUUUAUCCGCUUUGGGAGUGGCCUGCGUACGAUUAGAUAGUUGGUGAGGUAAUGGCUCACCAAGUCUACGAUCGUUAACUGGUUUGAGAGGAUGAUCAGUCAGACUGGAACUGAGACACGGUCCAGACUCCUACGGGAGGCAGCAGUGAGGAAUCUUCCACAAUGGACGAAAGUCUGAUGGAGCAAACUCCGCGUGCAGGAUGAAGGCCUUCGGUCGUAAACUGCUUUAUGAGUGAAGAAUAUGACGGUAACUACAUGAA